AGUGAACGCUGGCGGUAGGCCUAACACAUGCAAGUCGAACGGCAGCACAGUAAGAGCUUGCUCUUACGGGUGGCGAGUGGCGGACAGGUGAGGAAUACAUCGGAAUCUACUUUUUCGUGGGGGAUAACGUAGGGAAACUUACGCUCAUACCGCAUACGACCUACGGGUGAAAGCAGGGGAUCUUCGGACCUUGCGCGAUUGAAUGAGCCGAUGUCGGAUUAGCUAGUUGGCGGGGUAAAGGCCCACCAAGGCGACGAUCCGUAGCUGGUCUGAGAGGAUGAUCAGCCACACUGGAACUGAGACACGGUCCAGACUCCUACGGGAGGCAGCAGUGGGGAAUAUUGGACAAUGGGCGCAAGCCUGAUCCAGCCAUACCGCGUGGGUGAAGAAGGCCUUCGGGUUGUAAAGCCCUUUUGUUGGGAAAGAAAAGCAGCAGGUUAAUACCCCGCUGUUCUGACGGUACCCAAAGAAUAAGCACCGGCUAACUUCGUG
Molecule: ribosomal RNA, 492 nt
Filed under: uncultured bacterium
Lineage: Bacteria
Description: partial 16S ribosomal RNA
Rfam family: Bacterial small subunit ribosomal RNA
Source: RNAcentral